GACCGAGGUUGCAAACGUUGUUCGGAAUCACUGGGCAUAAAGCGCACGUAGGCGGUCUGUUAAGUCAGGUGUGAAAGCCCCCGGCUCAACCGGGGAAUAGCAUUUGAUACUGGCAGACUCGAGGAUGGUAGGGGUGAGUGGAACUCCAGGUGGAGCGGUGAAAUGCGUAGAUAUCUGGAGGAACACCGGUGGCGAAAGCGGCUCACUGGACCAUAACUGACGCUGAGGUGCGAAAGCUAGGGUAGCAAACGGG
Molecule: ribosomal RNA, 253 nt
Filed under: uncultured bacterium
Lineage: Bacteria
Description: partial 16S ribosomal RNA
Rfam family: Bacterial small subunit ribosomal RNA
Source: RNAcentral